Molecule: ribosomal RNA, 253 nt
Filed under: uncultured bacterium
Lineage: Bacteria
Description: partial 16S ribosomal RNA
Rfam family: Bacterial small subunit ribosomal RNA
Source: RNAcentral
UACGUAGGUGGCAAGCGUUGUCCGGAUUUAUUGGGUUUAAAGGGUGCGUAGGCGGCCCUGUAAGUCAGUGCUGAAAUAUCCCAGCUUAACUGGGAGGGUGGCAUUGAUACUGCGGGGCUAGAGUACAGAUGAGGUAGGCGGAAUUAACGGUGUAGCGGUGAAAUGCUUAGAUAUCGUCAAGAACACCUAUAGCGAAGGCAGCUUACUAGGCUGUAACUGACGCUGAGGCACGAAAGUGUGGGGAUCAAACAGG